RNAcentral lists this ribosomal RNA (253 nucleotides) under uncultured bacterium. Its description in RNAcentral is "partial 16S ribosomal RNA". It matches the Rfam family "Bacterial small subunit ribosomal RNA", at positions 524 to 776 of the family's 1533-position model. The record is from RNAcentral.
UACGGAGGGUGCAAGCGUUAUCCGGAUUCACUGGGUUUAAAGGGCGCGUAGGAGGGCAGGUAAGUCAGUGGUGAAAUCUUCGAGCUUAACUCGGAAACUGCCGUUGAUACUAUCUGUCUUGAAUACCGUGGAGAUGAGCGGAAUAUGUCAUGUAGCGGUGAAAUGCUUAGAUAUGACAUAGAACACCGAUUGCGAAGGCAGCUCGUUACACGAAUAUUGACUCUGAGGCUCGAAAGCGUGGGGAUCGAACCGG